GAGCAAUGGGGGGACGCAGGAAGGUAGGGCGAGCAGGCUGCUGGAAUAGCCUGUCCAAGCGGUUAGGCCGCCAGAUAGGCAAAUCCGUCUGGCAAUAAGGCGGAGCCGUGAUGGCGAGGGACCGUUGGUCCCGAAGUCCCCGAUCCUACACUGCCAAGAAAAGCCUCUAGCGAGGUGAGAGGUGCCCGUACCGCAAACCGACACAGGUAGGCGAGGAGAGAAUCCUAAGGUGCGCGGGAGAACUCUCGUUAAGGAACUCGGCAAAAUGACCCCGUAACUUCGGGAGAAGGGGUGCUCUCUUGGGUCCAAAGCCUGAGGGAGCCGCAGUGAAAAGGCCCAAGCGACUGUUUAUCAAAAACACAGGUCUCUGCGAAGCCGAAAGGCGAAGUAUAGGGGCUGACACCUGCCCGGUGCUGGAAGGUUAAGGGGAGCGCUUAGCGGAAGCGAAGGUGCGAACCGAAGCCCCAGUAAACGGCGGCCGUAACUAUAACGGUCCUAAGGUAGCGAAAUUCCUUGUCGGGUAAGUUCCGACCCGCACGAAAGGUGUAACGACUUGGGCACUGUCUCAACGAGAGACCCGGUGAAAUCAUACUACCUGUGAAGAUGCAGGUUACCCGCGACAGGACGGAAAGACCCCGUGGAGCUUUACUGCAGCCUGAUAUGGAAUUUUGGUAUCGCUUGUACAGGAUAGGUGGGAGCCUGGGAAGCCGGAGCGCCAGCUUCGGUGGAGGCGGCGGUGGGAUACCACCCUGGCGGUAUUGAAAUUCUAACCCGCACCCCUUAGCGGGGUGGGAGACAGUGUCAGGUGGGCAGUUUGACUGGGGCGGUCGCCUCCCAAAAGGUAACGGAGGCGCCCAAAGGUUCCCUCAGAAUGGUUGGAAAUCAUUCGGAGAGUGCAAAGGCAGAAGGGAGCUUGACUGCGAGACAGACAGGUCGAGCAGGGACGAAAGUCGGGCUUAGUGAUCCGGUGGUUCCGCAUGGAAGGGCCAUCGCUCAACGGAUAAAAGCUACCCCGGGGAUAACAGGCUGAUCUCCCCCAAGAGUCCACAUCGACGGGGAGGUUUGGCACCUCGAUGUCGGCUCAUCGCAUCCUGGGGCUGUAGUCGGUCCCAAGGGUUGGGCUGUUCGCCCAUUAAAGCGGUACGCGAGCUGGGUUCAGAACGUCGUGAGACAGUUCGGUCCCUAUCCGUCGCGGGCGCAGGAAAUUUGAGAGGAGCUGUCCUUAGUACGAGAGGACCGGGAUGGACGCACCGCUGGUGUACCAGUUGUCCCGCCAGGGGCACCGCUGGGUAGCUAUGUGCGGAAGGGAUAAGCGCUGAAAGCAUCUAAGCGUGAAGCCCCCCUCAAGAUGAGAUUUCCCAUCGCGUCAAGCGAGUAAGAUCCCUCGAAGAUGACGAGGUCGAUAGGUCCGAGGUGGAAGCGUGGCGACACGUGGAGCUGACGGAUACUAAUCGAUCGAGGGCUUAACCAC
Molecule: ribosomal RNA, 1471 nt
Filed under: Anoxybacillus flavithermus
Lineage: Bacteria; Bacillati; Bacillota; Bacilli; Caryophanales; Anoxybacillaceae
Description: bacterial LSU rRNA
Rfam family: Bacterial large subunit ribosomal RNA
Source: RNAcentral